GUGCUGACUUCGACAGCAUGUACAUUAAACUUGGAACAAUGCAGAGAAGAUUAGCAUAGCUCCUAGGAUGUGCAAAUUCAUGAAACAUUCCAUAUUUUU
RNAcentral lists this small nuclear RNA (99 nucleotides) under Echinops telfairi (small Madagascar hedgehog). Lineage: Eukaryota; Metazoa; Chordata; Mammalia; Afrosoricida; Tenrecidae. The record is from RNAcentral.